This 2158-nucleotide unclassified non-coding RNA is filed under the name Penaeus monodon (black tiger shrimp). RNAcentral's name for it is "lysophosphatidylserine lipase ABHD12-like, transcript variant X1". The record is from RNAcentral. Lineage: Eukaryota; Metazoa; Arthropoda; Malacostraca; Decapoda; Penaeidae.
UCAUUCACCAUUCCACCUAAUUCUAAUUUCAUCUUGAUACCGUCUAUAAUCACGAUCCCUAAAAAAAUAAUAAAAAAGGAUAUUAGUAAUAAAAAAUGACAGUUGUAAGAAAUCAAAUACACGGAAGGAGGUAACCCGGUGGCACUCUCGGAACUCAAGAGAUUUAUCUAUUCGAUAGAGAGACGAGGCAAGGCACAAGAAAGAAGAAUAUCUGAGCUCUUGCUUUAUUUGCAGAGUACAGGGAAACACAUCUGAGAGAAUAUUCUGGGCUGACAUAGAUAUAUAUAUAUAUAUGAUAAUUGAAGAGAAGAAAUAUGCAAGAAAAUCUGUUUGUGGAUUCCUUUCGUAAUUGAACUCAAUGUUUUAAGACUAUGCCACGCUUCAGACUCUUAUCAAUGGGUACUGGAAGACGAGGAAGAUUUAAGAGGUUUCUUAAGUUAGUGGUAUCAGUAGUGACAGUUCUUCUGUUCUUGUCCUGUGUUGCAUUUCCUAUCCUUGUUCAUUACUCCCCGGGACUGCAACGGUACUUAAUCUUCCGCCACACAUCUCUGCCUGGCCUUUUGUUCUUCUCAAGAACAGAGGAUCUGAGCAAACCAGAGAAUUACAACUUGCUAGGAACUCGCAACUUUUAUCUUCAAACAGAGGAUGACAUAUCAGUAGGAAUAUGGCAUAUCUUGCCCGAGUCUUUGAUGUUUUCGGCACCAGACGGCAAGUCCGAGGAAAGAACGAGAUGGUUUGAGGAAAGUUUAACGAAGGGUAAGCCCAUAUUCUUAUACCUGCAUGGGAACCGCUUUUCAAGAGGUGCUUACUAUCGUGUGGAGCUGUACCGUCUUCUACGAAGCCAGGAUUACCACGUUAUCGCCAUGGACUAUAGAGGUUUUGCUGACUCAACUGCAGUAGCUCCCAGUGAGAAAGGUUUAGUCACAGAUGUAAAAGUUGUGUACAAUUAUAUCAAGAAAAAGGCAGGGAAAACACCAGUAUUUUUUUACGGCCACUCUCUUGGUACCGGGGUCGCAUGUCAUGCUGUAGCAGACCUGUGUCAGGAAAGACGGUGCCCGCAAGGUCUCAUUCUUCAGAGUCCCUUCAAUAACCUCUUCAGUGAGAUCAGAGUCCAUAGCUUUGGCAAGCUGCUGACUUUCUUGCCAUACUUCAACUGGAGCAUCUUGGAGCCACUUCGAAAGAGCGGUGUUGUGUUUGAUAACGAGAAGCACAUCGCCAACAUUCCCAUACCUAUCUGGAUCCUCCAUGCGCAGGACGAUGGCGUUGUUCCGAUUACGCUGGGGCUUGAGCUCUAUUCAGCAGCUAUGAGAUCAAGAUCAAAGAAGGCACCGGAAGUCAGAUUUUUUGACUUUGAAGACCAUUACGGAUACGGACAUAACUAUAUUCACAAGUCUGAUGAUCUACCAAUGAUCCUCAGAGAAUUUGUCAAAGCCGCAAGAUAUAGGAAGUAACCAAGAUAUGUGUAAAUAUGCUGUACAGAAGAGAAAAUAAUGCACAGAACACCGACGCCAAAAAAGAGAAUGGAAUCGCCCAGCAAACAAAAGCACAGAACCAAAAAAUACGAAAAAACGAAAUACCCGAUUCCAACCAGACGCAAAACGGAGUCGAUCCUCCGCCAAAAGCUGCUGGGAAUCAUCUGUGACUACAAGUACCUAGACAUGAAGAACUCCGCUAGGUUCACAGACUACACCCAGAUACAGAAUACAGCACCGCAUCACAGGCACAUCAACGAAAACUUGGAAUUCCUGUUGGGUCGCAAAUUGUAUGGACUUGGCUGGCGGGACGUUAAGCUUGGGAUGGCUAAGGAGGUCAUGGCAGGCACGGUUACUAAUCCUGAGGAACCUCGUGAUGCCUUCAGGAGGAGAGUCACGAAGUCGGCUUUCUUCGCAGAGGCAGAGGGACUUCAGGGCAGUAAGGUUGCCGAGUGUCCUCUGCUGAAGGUGUGCAAACCAUGUACUGUGGUGUUGCAUCCUCUCAACUUCCAGGCUCUCUUUCCUGCAGUUCCUUCACGUAGAGAUUGCUGAAGGUAUCAUGCUGAUUCCCUGAGGUUAGUUAAAUCUGCAACCUUCAUCUGUUUUAUUCUACUGUUUUGCCUCCACAUUAAUAUAGUUAUUAUUUGUUUAUAAUUACGUCCUGGCUGGUGGAGACUGCCUAUGGG